RNAcentral lists this ribosomal RNA (468 nucleotides) under uncultured bacterium. RNAcentral describes it as "partial 16S ribosomal RNA". It matches the Rfam family "Bacterial small subunit ribosomal RNA", at positions 28 to 507 of the family's 1533-position model. The record is from RNAcentral.
GACGAACGCUGGCGGCGUGCUUAACACAUGCAAGUCGAACGGAAAGGCCCUGCUUUUGUGGCGUGCUCGAGUGGCGAACGGGUGAGUAACACGUGAGUAACCUGCCCUUGACUUUGGGAUAACUUUAGGAAACUGGGGCUAAUACCGGAUAGGAGCUCCUGCUGCAUGGUGGGGGUUGGAAAGUUUCGGCGGUUGGGGAUGGACUCGCGGCUUAUCAGCUUGUUGGUGGGGUAGUGGCUUACCAAGGCUUUGACGGGUAGCCGGCCUGAGAGGGUGACCGGCCACAUUGGGACUGAGAUACGGCCCAGACUCCUACGGGAGGCAGCAGUGGGGAAUAUUGCACAAUGGGCGGAAGCCUGAUGCUGCAACGCCGCGUGCGGGAUGACGGCCUUCGGGUUGUAAACCGCUUUCGCCUGUGACGAAGCGUGAGUGACGGUAAUGGGUAAAGAAGCACCGGCUAACUACGUG